RNAcentral lists this ribosomal RNA (478 nucleotides) under uncultured bacterium. Its description in RNAcentral is "partial 16S ribosomal RNA". It matches the Rfam family "Bacterial small subunit ribosomal RNA", at positions 28 to 507 of the family's 1533-position model. The record is from RNAcentral.
GAUGAACGCUGGCGGCGUGCCUAACACAUGCAAGUCGAACGGGAAUUAUUUUAUUGAAACUUCGGUCGAUUUAAUUUAAUUCUAGUGGCGGACGGGUGAGUAACGCGUGGGUAACCUGCCUUAUACAGGGGGAUAACAGUCAGAAAUGGCUGCUAAUACCGCAUAAGCGCACAGAGCUGCAUGGCUCAGUGUGAAAAACUCCGGUGGUAUAAGAUGGACCCGCGUUGGAUUAGCUGGUUGGUGGGGUAACGGCCCACCAAGGCGACGAUCCAUAGCCGGCCUGAGAGGGUGAACGGCCACAUUGGGACUGAGACACGGCCCAGACUCCUACGGGAGGCAGCAGUGGGGAAUAUUGCACAAUGGGGGAAACCCUGAUGCAGCGACGCCGCGUGAAGGAAGAAGUAUCUCGGUAUGUAAACUUCUAUCAGCAGGGAAGAUAGUGACGGUACCUGACUAAGAAGCCCCGGCUAACUACGUG